This 425-nucleotide ribosomal RNA is filed under the name uncultured bacterium. RNAcentral's name for it is "bacterial SSU rRNA". It matches the Rfam family "Bacterial small subunit ribosomal RNA", at positions 354 to 796 of the family's 1533-position model. The record is from RNAcentral.
GUGGGGAAUCUUGCACAAUGGAGGAAACUCUGAUGCAGCGACGCCGCGUGAGCGAUGAAGCCCUUCGGGGUGUAAAGCUCUUUCGACGGGAACGAUAAUGACGGUACCCGAAGAAGAAGCUGCGGCUAACUACGUGCCAGCAGCCGCGGUAAUACGUAGGCAGCAAGCGUUGUUCGGAAUUACUGGGCGUAAAGAGUGUGUAGGCGGUGUUCUAAGUCUGUUGUGAAAUCUCCCGGCUUAACUGGGAGGGUGCGGCGGAAACUGGAAUGCUAGAGGAUGGGAGAGGUAAGCGGAAUUCCUGGUGUAGCGGUGAAAUGCGUAGAUAUCAGGAGGAACACCUGUGGUGUAGACAGCUUACUGGACCAUUUCUGACGCUGAGACACGAAAGCGUGGGUAGCAAACAGGAUUAGAUACCCCAGUAGUCC